GAUGAACGCUGGCGGCGUGCCUAAUACAUGCAAGUCGAGCGAACAGAUGAGGAGCUUGCUCCUCUGACGUUAGCGGCGGACGGGUGAGUAACACGUGGAUAACCUCCCUAUAAGACUGGGAUAACUUCGGGAAACCGGAGCUAAUACCGGAUAAUAUAUUGAACCGCAUGGUUCAAUAGUGAAAGUCGGUUUUGCUGUCACUUAUAGAUGGAUCCGCGCCGCAUUAGCUAGUUGGUAAGGUAACGGCGUACCAAGGCGACGAUGCGUAGCCGACCUGAGAGGGUGAUCGGCGACACUGGAACUGAGACACGGUCCAGACUCCUGCGGGAGGCAGCAGUAGGGAAUCUUCCGCAAUGGGCGGAAGCCUGACGGAGCGACGCCGCGUGAGUGAUGAAGGUCUUCGGAUCGUAAAACUCUGUUAUUAGGGAAGAACAAAUGUGUAAGUAGCUAUGCACGUCUUGACGGUACCUGAUCAGAAAGCCACGGCUAACUACGUG
RNAcentral lists this ribosomal RNA (497 nucleotides) under uncultured bacterium. RNAcentral describes it as "partial 16S ribosomal RNA". It matches the Rfam family "Bacterial small subunit ribosomal RNA", at positions 28 to 507 of the family's 1533-position model. The record is from RNAcentral.